CCUCUCAUGGCGUAGGGGUAACGCGCCCUAACUAGAGAUCGGGGAGUCGUGAGUUCGAUUCUCACUGAGAAGA
This is a non-coding RNA of Aedes aegypti (yellow fever mosquito), 73 nucleotides long. NCBI's taxonomy places the organism in Eukaryota, Metazoa, Arthropoda, Insecta, Diptera, Culicidae. The record is from Rfam.